CAGAGGGUGCGAGCGUUAAUCGGAUUUACUGGGCGUAAAGCGUGUGUAGGUGGCUUCCUAAGUCGGUUGUGAAAUCCCUGGGCUCAACCUGGGAAUUGCAGUCGAUACUGGGAAGCUCGAGUUCGGUAGAGGACGGCGGAAUUCCCGGUGUAGCGGUGAAAUGCGUAGAUAUCGGGAGGAACAUCGAUGGCGAAAGCAACCGUCUGGGCCUGAACUGACACUGAGACACGAAAGCGUGGGGAGCAUACAGGAUUAGAUACCCUGGUAGUCCACGCCGUAAACGAUGAGAACCUGACGUCGGUUUGCUCUGCGAAUCGGUGUCGUAGCUAACGCGAUAAGUUCUCCGCCUGGGGAGUACGGCCGCAAGGUUG
RNAcentral lists this ribosomal RNA (371 nucleotides) under uncultured organism. RNAcentral describes it as "bacterial SSU rRNA". It matches the Rfam family "Bacterial small subunit ribosomal RNA", at positions 526 to 896 of the family's 1533-position model. The record is from RNAcentral.